UCCAGCGCACUCACCUAUCCACUAAACAGCAACUUCAAUGUUGAAAGAUUGUAUUUGUUUUUUUAAAAACACCUAAUCUAGGCAAAAAAAUUAUUUUUGCCUAGAUUAGGUGUUUUUAAAAAAAACAAAUACAAUCUUUCAACAUUGAAGUUGCUGUUUAGUGGAUAGGUGAGUGCGCUGGA
This 182-nucleotide microRNA precursor is filed under the name Pelobates cultripes (western spadefoot toad). The record is from RNAcentral. Lineage: Eukaryota; Metazoa; Chordata; Amphibia; Anura; Pelobatidae.